CCUACGGGCGGCAGCAGUGAGGAAUAUUGGUCAAUGGACGAGAGUCUGAACCAGCCAAGUAGCGUGAAGGAUGACUGCCCUAUGGGUUGUAAACUUCUUUUAUAUGGGAAUAAAAUGUUCCACGUGUGGGAUUUUGUAUGUACCAUAUGAAUAAGGAUCGGCUAACUCCGUGCCAGCAGCCGCGGUAAUACGGAGGAUCCGAGCGUUAUCCGGAUUUAUUGGGUUUAAAGGGAGCGUAGGUGGAUUGUUAAGUCAGUUGUGAAAGUUUGCGGCUCAACCGUAAAAUUGCAGUUGAAACUGGCAGUCUUGAGUACAGUAGAGGUGGGCGGAAUUCGUGGUGUAGCGGUGAAAUGAUUAGAUAUCACGAAGAACUCCGAUUGCGAAGGCAGUUCACUGGACUGCAACUGACACUGAGGCUCGAAAGUGUGGGUAUCAAACAGGAUUAGAUACCCCAGUAGUC
RNAcentral lists this ribosomal RNA (460 nucleotides) under uncultured bacterium. RNAcentral describes it as "partial 16S ribosomal RNA". It matches the Rfam family "Bacterial small subunit ribosomal RNA", at positions 338 to 795 of the family's 1533-position model. The record is from RNAcentral.